CGAAGAAGAGGGGGUAUAUUGCUUUGCUCAUGUCGGUCUGUCGGUCGGUCUGUCUGUCCGUCCACCAGGUGGUUGUCAGACGAUAACUCAAGAACGCUUGGGCCUAGGAUCAUGAAACUUCAUAGGUACAUUGAUCAUGACUCGCAGAUGACCCCUAUUGAUUUUGAGGUCACUAGGUCAAAGGUCAAGGUCACGGUGACCCGAAAUAGUAAAAUGGUUUUUGAAUGAUAACUCAAGAACCCAUACGCCUAGGAUCAUGAAACUUCAUGGGUAGAUUGAUCAUGACUCGCAGACGACCCCUAUUGAUUUUGAUGUCACAAGGUCAAGGUCACGGUGACCCGAAAUAGUAAAAUGGUUUCCGGAUAAUAACUCAAGAAUGCAUACGCAUACGCCUAGGAUCAUGAAACUUCAUGGGUAGAUUGAUCAUGACUCGCAGAUGACCCCUAUUGAUUUUGAGGUCACUAGGUCAAAGGUCAAGGUCACGGUGACCCGAAAUAGUAAAAUGGUUUUCGGAUGAUAACUCUAGUUAAAUGAUUUUCGGAUGACAACUCAAGAACGCUUUUGCCUAUGAUCAUGACACUUCAUAGGUACAUUGAUCGUGACUCGCAGAUGACCCCUAUUGAUUUUCAGGUCACUAAGUCAUAGGUCAAGGUCACAGUGACAAAAAACGUAUUCACACGAUGGCUGCCACUACAACGGACAGCCCGUAUUGGGGGCAUGCAUGUUUUACAAACAGCCCUUGUUCAGUCAGGUGUUGAUCACACAUCGUCAUAUUUAUGCCCCCCUUCGAAGAAGAGGGGGUAUAUUGCUUUGCUCAUGUCGGUCUGUAAGGCUGUCGGUCGGUCGGUCCGUCCGUCCACCAGGUAGUUGUCAGACGAUACCUCAAGAACGCUUGGGCCUAGGAUCAUGAAACUUCAUAGGUACAUUGAUCAUGACUCGCAGAUGACCCCUAUCGAUUUUGAGGUCACUAGGUCAAAGGUCAAGGUCAUGUUGACCCGAAAUAGUAAAAUGGUUUCCAGAUGAUAACUCAAGAACGCUUAGGCCUAGGAUCAUGAAACUUGAUAGGUAGAUUGAUCAUGACUCGCAGAUGACCCCUAUUGAUUUUCAGGUCACUAGGUCAAAGGUCAAGGUCACAGUGACCCGAAAUAGUAAAAUGGUUUCCGGAUGAUAACUCAAGAACGCUUAGGCCUAGGAUCAUGAAACUUGAUAGGUAGAUUGAUCAUGACUCGCAGAUGACCCCUAUUGAUUUUCAGGUCACUAGGUCAAAGGUCAAGGUCACAGUGACCCGAAAUAGUAAAAUGGUUUCCGGAUGAUAACUCAAGAACGCUUAGGCCUAGGAUCAUGAAACUUGAUAGGUAGAUUGAUCAUGACUCGCAGAUGACCCCUAUUGAUUUUCAGGUCACUAGGUCAAAGGUAAAGGUCACAAUGACCCGAAAUAGUAAAAUGGUUUCCGGAUGAUAACUGAAGAACGCUUAUUCCUAGGAUCAUGAAACUUGAUAGGUAGAAUGAUCAUGACUCGCAGAUGCCCCUUUUUGAUUUUCAGGUCACUAGGUCAAAGGUCAAGGUCACGGUGACCCGAAAUAGUAAAAUGGUGUCCAGAUGAUUACUCAAGAAUGCUUAUGGCUAGGAUCAUGAAACUUCAUAGGUACAUUGAUCAUGACUGGCAGAUGACCCCUAUUGAUUUUCAGGUCACUAGGUCAAAGGUCAAGGUCACAGUGACAAAAAACAUAUUCACACAAUGGCUCUCACUACAACGGAGAGCCCAUAUGGGGGGCAUGCAUGUUUUACAAACAGCCCUUGUUUAAGGAACUGGUUAAAUGGUAGGCCCUUAACAAUACCAACAACAAUUACAAAUAAUUGAGGCCAGACAGGGACUGGGGAAUGGUUAAAAGUACCAAUACUAUGUUGUUGUUUUGUUUGUUGCUGGAUAGAAAUUUGCUGAAUUUAAUUGUUAUGAUUUUGUGUGUAUUGUACAACUACUAUGUUGUAUUUUGCUGACUAGUCUUGUUACUAUUUUUUGUGUAUCGUAUGACUUCAUUGUUGUAUUUUGCUGACUAGUCUUACUUGUUACUAUUUUUUGUGUAUCGUAUGACUACUAUGUUGUUUAUGCUGACUAGUCUUACUUGUUACUAUUUAGUAUUUAUUGUGUAUCGUAUGACUACUAUGUUGUAUUUUGCUGACUAGUCUUACUUGUUACAAUUUUGUGUGUAUCAUAUGUCUACUAUGUUGUAUUUUACCGACUAGUCUUACUUGUUACUAUUUUUUGUGUAUCGGAUGACUACUAUGUUGUAUUUUGCUGACUAGUCUUUCUUGUUACUAUUUUUUUUGUAUCGUAUGACUAUAUACUAUGUUAUAUUUUGCUGACUAGUCUUAAUUGUCCCCUACCGGUGAAACCGGAGGGGACUUAUGGUUUGCACUCCGUCUGUCUUUCUGUCAGUCUGUCUGUCAGUCCGUCACACUUUUCUGGAUCCUGGGAUAACUUAAAAAGUUCUUCAUUUUCAUGAAACUUGAAACAGGGAUAGAUGGCAAUAUGGAGAUUAUGCACGUCAUUUCCUUUUGUUCCUAUGUCAGAAAUUCUUGUUGCUAUGACAACAAAUUAAAAAAAAUGUUUUUACUGACAAUGGUGGAGUUUCACCGGUAGGGGACCAUAUUGCUUGGCAAUCUCUUGUUGUUACUUUUUUAUGUGUAUCGUACGCCAUCCAGUUUAAAGAAAUGGUUAUUUUAUUAAUUGCCAGGGUUUAUAGACCAGUUUUGAUAAUAUGGGUGAUAUGAGCCAUUUAUACAUGCAUGUUUGGUAAUUUUCCAUGUAUACAUUAUUCAUUUUGGAUACGUUCGAUUUGUCAUAAUUCUCUAUUUUAUUUACAUUUGCUUAGCAUUAUAUUACCAAAAUACAAUACUCAAGUAAUUUUGUCAUUUAACAUUUUGUUUCAAUAUGUUACUUUUUCAGUUUCUGUACCAGUAGAAUUAUAGUAUGUUUAAAUAAUUUCUUUUACAUUUGUUGUUAGUCAACGUAUAUAUUAAUUAAUUUUACACCAUUAGAAUCAAAAUGGUGGAAUUAGUACAUUUUUAGUUU
Long non-coding RNA from Dreissena polymorpha, 3073 nucleotides. RefSeq lists it as uncharacterized. The record is from RefSeq and is a predicted model, not a curated record. The transcript is spliced from 3 exons. NCBI's taxonomy places the organism in Eukaryota, Metazoa, Mollusca, Bivalvia, Myida, Dreissenidae.